GGGGGUUUAGCUUAGUGGUAUAGCAUUUGCCUAGCAUGCAUGAGGCCUUGGGUUCAAUCCCCAACACCACCA
RNAcentral lists this transfer RNA (72 nucleotides) under Marmota marmota marmota (Alpine marmot). It matches the Rfam family "tRNA". Rfam says of the family: Transfer RNA (tRNA) molecules are approximately 80 nucleotides in length. Their secondary structure includes four short double-helical elements and three loops (D, anti-codon, and T loops). Further hydrogen bonds mediate the characteristic L-shaped molecular structure. tRNAs have two regions of fundamental functional importance: the anti-codon, which is responsible for specific mRNA codon recognition, and the 3' end, to which the tRNAs corresponding amino acid is attached (by aminoacyl-tRNA synthetases). tRNAs cope with the degeneracy of the genetic code in two manners: having more than one tRNA (with a specific anti-codon) for a particular amino acid; and 'wobble' base-pairing, i.e. permitting non-standard base-pairing at the 3rd anti-codon position. RNAcentral also lists the same sequence under 2 other names. The record is from Rfam by way of RNAcentral. Lineage: Eukaryota; Metazoa; Chordata; Mammalia; Rodentia; Sciuridae.